UGGAAACAGGCAUAAGCAGCAGAAGAGUGGAGCACAGAGACAGACUAUUUUGAGUUCAGGUAAACAUUCAGUAGGAACAUGUGAACAUCUGACAUCUGGUUAUAAACUUCCAUUAGCUAAAGGAUGACCAGCCCAUUUAUGUAAGAAUGUCCUAGAAUCAUUACGGGAAGCCAAGUCCAACCACCACAGUAGGUAAGAGAAGUAACAGUAUAGAAUGCACAGUAAGAAAAAUCCUAUGAUAAAUUUAAAAUGUAAAGGCUUUUUGGGAGGAGAGUUGGGGAAAUGACUGAAGAGGACAUGAGGGAACUUUCUGGAGUGACAAAAUGUUACAUAUUGAUUGGGUUGCCCAAGGGAUAUUACAUACAUGUGUCAAAAACUCAUUUAAAAAUCUGCAUGUUUUGGCUGGGCGCAGUGGUUCAUGCCUAUAAUCCCAGCACUCUGGGAGGCCGAGGUGGGGUUCGAGACCAGCCUGGCCAACAUGGUGAAACCCCGUCUGUACUAAAAAUACAAAAAUUAGCUGGGCAUGGUGGCGUGUGCCUGUAAUCCCAGACUCAGGAGGCUAAGGCAUGAGAAUCGCUUGAACCCAGGAGGUGGAGGUUGCAGUGAGCCGAGACUGCACCAUUGCACUCCAGCCUGGGUGACAGAGAAAGACUCCAUCUCGUCUUUUUUUUUUUAAGGCAGGGUCUCAUUCUGUCACCCAGGUGGGAGUGCAGUGGUGCAGUCACCACUCACUGCAGCUUCAACUUCCUGGGCUCAAGCAAUCCUCCCCCCAUUUUUGAUUUUUUUGUAAAGACGAGGUCUCACUAAUGUUGCCCAGGAUGGUCUUGAACUCCUGGGCUUAAGUGAUCCUCCCACCUAGGCCUCCCAAAGUGCUGGGGUUACAGGCAUGAGCCACCACACCUGGCCUCUAAAAAUCUGCAUUUCAGUUUAUGUAAAUCACAUUGCA
This 946-nucleotide long non-coding RNA is filed under the name Homo sapiens (human). RNAcentral describes it as "HSALNT0054782". The record is from RNAcentral. Lineage: Eukaryota; Metazoa; Chordata; Mammalia; Primates; Hominidae.